Molecule: long non-coding RNA, 170 nt
Organism: Triticum aestivum (bread wheat)
Lineage: Eukaryota; Viridiplantae; Streptophyta; Magnoliopsida; Poales; Poaceae
Exons: 3
Source: RefSeq, a predicted model, not a curated record
CAAUGCGACCGCUGCAUCGCCAGUAACCUCUUCGCAAUGGCAACACAAGCAGGAACCUUGGCUACUCCUCGUUUAAGUCCCCAAGUGGUUCCCUUCAUGAACGAGGACAUGGACAUGUACCUCGACGGUGAGCUCAUCCACCACUACCACCUCGACUCCGCGCGCAAGGU